UGAGGUCUUAUAGUUAGGUAGA
Molecule: microRNA, 22 nt
Filed under: Caenorhabditis elegans
Lineage: Eukaryota; Metazoa; Nematoda; Chromadorea; Rhabditida; Rhabditidae
Description: cel-miR-1821-3p
Source: miRBase by way of RNAcentral